AACGAACGCUGGCGGCAUGCCUAACACAUGCAAGUCGAACGAGACCUUCGGGUCUAGUGGCGCACGGGUGCGUAACGCGUGGGAACCUGCCCUUAGGUUCGGAAUAACUCCCCGAAAGGGGUGCUAAUACCGGAUAAUGUCUUCGGACCAAAGAUUUAUCGCCUUUGGAUGGGCCCGCGCUGGAUUAGCUAGUUGGUAGGGUAAAAGCCUACCAAGGCGACGAUCCAUAGCUGGUCUGAGAGGAUGAUCAGCCACACUGGGACUGAGACACGGCCCAGACUCCUACGGGAGGCAGCAGUGGGGAAUAUUGCACAAUGGGCGAAAGCCUGAUCCAGCAAUGCCGCGUGAGUGAUGAAGGCCUUAGGGUUGUAAAGCUCUUUUACCCGGGAUGAUAAUGACAGUACCGGGAGAAUAAGCUCCGGCUAACUCCGUG
Molecule: ribosomal RNA, 433 nt
Filed under: uncultured bacterium
Lineage: Bacteria
Description: partial 16S ribosomal RNA
Rfam family: Bacterial small subunit ribosomal RNA
Source: RNAcentral